CGCUGACUGCACGGGAGUCCGGUGAGCCGGGCUGAGAGGGAGUAAUCGAACUCCGACCGUAGAACCUGAUCCGGAUCAUGCCGGCGCAGGGAGCGAAUGAGCUCGCGAU
RNAcentral lists this non-coding RNA (109 nucleotides) under Frigoribacterium sp. RNAcentral's name for it is "TPP sequence". It matches the Rfam family "TPP riboswitch aptamer (THI element)". Rfam says of the family: Vitamin B(1) in its active form thiamin pyrophosphate (TPP) is an essential coenzyme that is synthesised by coupling of pyrimidine and thiazole moieties in bacteria. The previously detected thiamin-regulatory element, thi box was extended, resulting in a new, highly conserved RNA secondary structure, the THI element, which is widely distributed in eubacteria and also occurs in some archaea. The record is from RNAcentral. Lineage: Bacteria; Bacillati; Actinomycetota; Actinomycetes; Micrococcales; Microbacteriaceae. RNAcentral also lists the same sequence under 1 other name.